This 90-nucleotide transfer RNA is filed under the name Bryobacteraceae bacterium. RNAcentral describes it as "tRNA-Ser". It matches the Rfam family "tRNA". From Rfam's summary of the family: Transfer RNA (tRNA) molecules are approximately 80 nucleotides in length. Their secondary structure includes four short double-helical elements and three loops (D, anti-codon, and T loops). Lineage: Bacteria; Pseudomonadati; Acidobacteriota; Terriglobia; Bryobacterales; Bryobacteraceae. The record is from RNAcentral.
GGUGAGGUGCGAGAGUGGUUGAAUCGGGCGGUCUCGAAAACCGUUGAUGCCGUAAGGUAUCCGUGGGUUCGAAUCCCACCCUCACCGCCA